This 496-nucleotide ribosomal RNA is filed under the name uncultured bacterium. Its description in RNAcentral is "partial 16S ribosomal RNA". It matches the Rfam family "Bacterial small subunit ribosomal RNA", at positions 29 to 507 of the family's 1533-position model. The record is from RNAcentral.
AUGAACGCUGGCGGCGUGCCUAAUCCAUGCAAGUCGAGCGAACGGACGAGAAGCUUGCUUCUCUGAUGUUAGCGGCGGACGGGUGAGUAACACGUGGAUAACCUACCUAUAAGACUGGGAUAACUUCGGGAAACCGGAGCUAAUACCGGAUAAUAUUUUGAACCGCAUGGUUCAAAAGUGAAAGACGGUCUUGCUGUCACUUAUAGAUGGAUCCGCGCUGCAUUAGCUAGUUGGUAAGGUAACGGCUUACCAAGGCAACGAUGCAUAGCCGACCUGAGAGGGUGAUCGGCCACACUGGAACUGAGACACGGUCCAGACUCCUACGGGAGGCAGCAGUAGGGAAUCUUCCGCAAUGGGCGAAAGUCUGACGGAGCAACGCCGCGUGAGUGAUGAAGGUCUUCGGAUCGUAAAACUCUGUUAUUAGGGAAGAACAUAUGUGUAAGUAACUGUGCACAUCUUGACGGUACCUAAUCAGAAAGCCACGGCUAACUACGUG